CUCCCUUGGGUGAGCGAUUUCGGUGUGUAUUGUGUUAAACUGAAGACGCAGCGGGAAUAUCGAGCGGGUAAUCCUACAGGUCAAGAGAAUCAGGACGGAGAUCGAGCUGCGUAGAGUAGCUGCAAUUGUGUCAAUCUGAAUUGCUUUGUGAGCCGGUGAGGUGUGUUAUGCUCAUUUAGAGCUUUACAAUAUUUCUUGUGAGAGUGAAUUGUAAUAAUGAACUCGAGGUUUCGAGAUUUGAAGUUUGUGUAUCGUGUGGUGAGGUUGUUUUGAGAAAAAAAUUCAGAACGUUUAUUUGAUUAAGUGGUUUAAUUCAUGUUUCGGAUUUGAACUUAU
Long non-coding RNA from Rosa rugosa (rugosa rose), 336 nucleotides. RefSeq lists it as uncharacterized. The transcript is spliced from 2 exons. Lineage: Eukaryota; Viridiplantae; Streptophyta; Magnoliopsida; Rosales; Rosaceae. The record is from RefSeq and is a predicted model, not a curated record.